RNAcentral lists this ribosomal RNA (460 nucleotides) under uncultured bacterium. RNAcentral describes it as "partial 16S ribosomal RNA". It matches the Rfam family "Bacterial small subunit ribosomal RNA", at positions 338 to 795 of the family's 1533-position model. The record is from RNAcentral.
CCUACGGGGCGCAGCAGUGAGGAAUAUUGGUCAAUGGGCGGAAGCCUGAACCAGCCAAGUAGCGUGCAGGAUGACGGCCCUACGGGUUGUAAACUGCUUUUAUACGGGAAUAACGCGCCUUACGUGUAGGGCUUUGCAUGUACCGUAUGAAUAAGCACCGGCUAAUUCCGUGCCAGCAGCCGCGGUAAUACGGAAGGUCCGGGCGUUAUCCGGAUUUAUUGGGUUUAAAGGGAGCGUAGGCCGCAUGUCAAGCGUGCUGUGACAUGUCCGGGCUCAACCCGGGCCUUGCAGCGCGAACUGGCGUGCUUGAGUCCGCGGAAAGCAGGCGGAAUGCGUGGUGUAGCGGUGAAAGGCUGAGAUAUGACGAAGAACCCCGAUUGCGAAGGCAGCUUGCUGCAGCGGAACUGACGCUGAUGCUCGAAAGCGCGGGUAUCGAACAGGAUUAGAUACCCUUGUAGUC